ACGUAGGUGGCGAGCGUUAUCCGGAUUUAUUGGGUUUAAAGGGUGCGUAGGCGGCUUUUUAAGUUGGUGGUUAAAGGUAGCAGCUCAACUGUUUUACAUGCCAUCAAAACUGAAGAGCUUGAGUUAUCAGGAGGCAGGCGGAAUUUCUGGUGUAGCGGUGAAAUGCAUAGAUACCAGAAGGAACACCUAUUGCGAAGGCAGCUUGCUGUAGAUACACUGACGCUGAUGCACGAAAGCGUGGGGAGCGAACAGG
RNAcentral lists this ribosomal RNA (253 nucleotides) under uncultured bacterium. Its description in RNAcentral is "partial 16S ribosomal RNA". It matches the Rfam family "Bacterial small subunit ribosomal RNA", at positions 525 to 776 of the family's 1533-position model. The record is from RNAcentral.